CAGUUCGGAUUGUAGUCUGCAACCCGACUACAUGAAGCUGGAAUCGCUAGUAAUCGCGAAUCAGAAUGUCGCGGUGAAUACGUUCCCGGGUCUUGUACACACCGCCCGUCACACCAUGGGAGUUGGAAAUGCCCGAAGCCGGUGACCGAACCUUAGGGACGGAGCCGUCGAAGGUGGAGCCAAUGACUGGGGUGAAGUCGUAACAAGGUAGC
Molecule: ribosomal RNA, 212 nt
Filed under: uncultured bacterium
Lineage: Bacteria
Description: partial 16S ribosomal RNA
Rfam family: Bacterial small subunit ribosomal RNA
Source: RNAcentral